Molecule: long non-coding RNA, 611 nt
Organism: Lemur catta (Ring-tailed lemur)
Lineage: Eukaryota; Metazoa; Chordata; Mammalia; Primates; Lemuridae
Exons: 2
Source: RefSeq, a predicted model, not a curated record
CAUGUGCAGUGAGAGAGAGAAGUACAGGGUAUUAUUAGGACACCCGUGAGGAUAAAGCACCUCACCAGUCUGGAAUAGUCAGAAGAGGCUCCAUGGAGUUGGUUGUAAGCUAGGUCUCAAAGGCUGGGUAGGAACUGAUCAAGCAAAUGCAGGUAAGGGUGGAUGUAGGUGGGCCUUCCGGGUGGAGGAGACAGCAGGGACAAAGGCAGAGAGGAGAGCAGCAGCAAGGGGUGUGGUGAAGGAUAGAAUGAGAGGCAGAGUGUGAGGACAGCUGGCCAUGGGGAGGUGGGCAAAGGCGGCAUCACAGAGGGCUCCGUGUACGUCAGCAGAAAGCUUUGGCUCUAUCUGAAGGAGUGGGAGCCACGGAUGAGCUGUACACCAGGGAAUACUGGCCAGCAGAUAGUGCUGUAGGGCCAAGAACAGAACAAGUUCUGUGCUUCCUCUGCCCCCGGGAAGAUUGCCUGUGUUGCUGGAAGGACUUCCUCCUAACUGCCCAGGCCUGCCCAGAGGAAGAGGCAGGAACUCUGUCUGGAACAACAUUCAGAAGAGAUCUUUUCUCCUUGCUCUCACCUGUCUGAUCCAUCUUGAAUAAAUUGUUUUUUUUCCUGCCA